AAAAAGACAAACCCUGGUUUCCGUGCCAAACGUUUAACCGUCCGUCUUAUUUUAAAAAAUUAUAAAAAAAAUUAAAAAGACAAGUCACGCAUAAAAUAUUAACCAUGUUUUAUCAUCUAACAACAAUGAAAAUACGAAUUAUAAAAAAAUUUCAUAUAAGACAGACAGUCAAAGUUGGACACAGAAACCCAGGGUUUGCCUUUUU
RNAcentral lists this microRNA precursor (205 nucleotides) under Oryza sativa Japonica Group (Japanese rice). RNAcentral describes it as "MIR812 microRNA precursor family". It matches the Rfam family "MIR812 microRNA precursor family". The record is from Rfam by way of RNAcentral. Lineage: Eukaryota; Viridiplantae; Streptophyta; Magnoliopsida; Poales; Poaceae.